AUAUUGUACGUUGAGUGCAGGUGAGAAGCUGCGUUCAGGUUCGAGCCGAGCGAAGCGAGACAGCGUUGCGCUUGCCGCAACGACCCGAAGGGCGAGGGCAAAGUCCGAGUAAUCCUGCACGACCCACCA
This 129-nucleotide small RNA is filed under the name Providencia alcalifaciens. RNAcentral's name for it is "RtT sRNA". It matches the Rfam family "RtT RNA". From Rfam's summary of the family: This family represents a bacterial cis-regulatory element known as RtT RNA. The exact function of RtT is unknown although it is thought that it may be involved in changing the cellular response in relation to amino acid starvation. Lineage: Bacteria; Pseudomonadati; Pseudomonadota; Gammaproteobacteria; Enterobacterales; Morganellaceae. The record is from RNAcentral.